RNAcentral lists this ribosomal RNA (851 nucleotides) under Microascus trigonus. RNAcentral's name for it is "partial large subunit ribosomal RNA". It matches the Rfam family "Eukaryotic large subunit ribosomal RNA", at positions 72 to 949 of the family's 3401-position model. The record is from RNAcentral. Lineage: Eukaryota; Fungi; Ascomycota; Sordariomycetes; Microascales; Microascaceae.
GGAUUGCCCCAGUAACGGCGAGUGAAGCGGCAACAGCUCAAAUUUGAAAUCUGGUCCCCCCGCGGGGCCCGAGUUGUAAUUUGAAGAGGAUGCUUCUGGCAAGGUGCCGUCCGAGUUCCCUGGAACGGGACGCCGCAGAGGGUGAGAGCCCCGUACGGUCGGAUGCCGAGCCUCUGUGAAGCUCCUUCGACGAGUCGAGUAGUUUGGGAAUGCUGCUCAAAAUGGGAGGUAAACCCCUUCUAAAGCUAAAUACCGGCCAGAGACCGAUAGCGCACAAGUAGAGUGAUCGAAAGAUGAAAAGCACUUUGAAAAGAGAGUUAAAAAGCACGUGAAAUUGUUGAAAGGGAAGCGCUUGCGACCAGACUCGCGCCCGUCGGAUCAGCCGUCGCUCGUCGGCGGCGCACUCCGGCGGGCUCGGGCCAGCAUCAGUUCGCCUCGGGGGGAGAAAGGCGGCAGGAAUGUGGCUCUACGGAGUGUUAUAGCCUGCCGUACAAUACCCCCGGGCGGACUGAGGACCGCGCGUAUGCAAGGAUGCUGGCGUAAUGGUCGUCAGCGACCCGUCUUGAAACACGGACCAAGGAGUCGUCCUAAUAUGCGAGUGUACGGGUGUCAAACCCCUGCGCGUAAUGAAAGUGAACGGAGGUGAGAGCUUCGGCGCAUCAUCGACCGAUCCUGAUGUUCUCGGAUGGAUUUGAGUAAGAGCAUAUUGGGCCGGACCCGAAAGAAGGUGAACUAUGCCUGUGUAGGGUAAAGCCAGAGGAAACUCUGGUGGAGGCUCGCAGCGGUUCUGACGUGCAAAUCGAUCGUCAAACAUGGGCAUGGGGGCGAAAGACUAAUCGAACCUUCUAGUA